RNAcentral lists this ribosomal RNA (434 nucleotides) under uncultured bacterium. RNAcentral's name for it is "bacterial SSU rRNA". It matches the Rfam family "Bacterial small subunit ribosomal RNA", at positions 355 to 786 of the family's 1533-position model. The record is from RNAcentral.
UGAGGAAUAUUGGUCAAUGGUCGCUAGACUGAACCAGCCAAGUAGCGUGCGGGAUGAAGGCCCUCCGGGUCGUAAACCGCUUUUAGACGGGGGUAAAAGGGCGUACGUGUACGCCGUAUUGCAUGUACCGUCAGAAAAAGGACCGGCUAAUUCCGUGCCAGCAGCCGCGGUAAUACGGAAGGUCCGGGCGUUAUCCGGAUUUAUUGGGUUUAAAGGGAGCGUAGGCGGACUUUCAAGUCAGUGGUAAAAUCGUGUGGCUCAACCAUACCUCGCCAUUGAAACUGGAAGUCUGGAGUGCACACAGGGUGCCGGAAUUCAUGGUGUAGCGGUGAAAUGCUUAGAUAUCAUGAAGAACUCCGAUCGCGAAGGCAAGUGCCCGGGGUGCAACUGACGCUGAGGCUCGAAGGUGCGGGUAUCGAACAGGAUUAGAUACC